RNAcentral lists this ribosomal RNA (253 nucleotides) under uncultured bacterium. RNAcentral's name for it is "partial 16S ribosomal RNA". It matches the Rfam family "Bacterial small subunit ribosomal RNA", at positions 524 to 776 of the family's 1533-position model. The record is from RNAcentral.
UACGUAGGGGGCUAGCGUUGUCCGGAUUUAUUGGGCGUAAAGAGCGUGUAGGCGGCCCGGUAAGUCCGCUGUGAAAGUCGGGGGCUCAACCCUCGAAUGCCGGUGGAAACUGUCGGGCUCGAGUGCGGAAGAGGCGAGUGGAAUUCCUGGUGUAGCGGUGAAAUGCGCAGAUAUCAGGAGGAGCACCAAUGGCGAAGGCAGCUCGCUGGGACGGUACUGACGCUGAGGCGCGAAAGCGUGGGGAGCGAACAGG